Molecule: ribosomal RNA, 504 nt
Filed under: uncultured bacterium
Lineage: Bacteria
Description: partial 16S ribosomal RNA
Rfam family: Bacterial small subunit ribosomal RNA
Source: RNAcentral
AUUGAACGCUGGCGGCAGGCCUAACACAUGCAAGUCGAGCGGUAACACAGGGAGCUUGCUCCUGGGUGACGAGCGGCGGACGGGUGAGUAAUGUCUGGGAAACUGCCUGAUGGAGGGGGAUAACUACUGGAAACGGUAGCUAAUACCGCAUAACGUCGCAAGACCAAAGAGGGGGACCUUCGGGCCUCUUGCCAUCAGAUGUUGCCAGAUGGGAUUAGCUAGUAGGUGGGGUAACAGCUCACCUAGGCGCCGAUCCCUAGCUGGUCUGAGAGGAUGACCAGCCACACUGGAACUGAGACACGGUCCAGACUCCUACGGGAGGCAGCAGUGGGGAAUAUUGCACAAUGGGCGCAAGCCUGAUGCAGCCAUGCCGCGUGUAUGAAGAAGGCCUUCGGGUUGUAAAGUACUUUCAGCGGGGAGGAAGGCGUUGUGGUUAAUAACCACAGCGAUUGACGUUACCCGCAGAAGAAGCACCGGCUAACUCCGUGCCAGCAGCCGCGGUAA